GCGGGGGAUUGCGAAAUGGGCGCAGCCUGAUCCAGCCAUCCCGCGUGUGUGAUGAAGGCCUUCGGGUUGUAAAGCUCUUUUGGUCGGGAAGAAAGUGCUGGGCUUAAUACCCUAUGCAACUGACGGUUCCUGGCCAACAACCACGGGCUUACUCCGUGCCAGCAGCCGCGGUAAUAAGGG
Molecule: ribosomal RNA, 180 nt
Filed under: uncultured bacterium
Lineage: Bacteria
Description: partial 16S ribosomal RNA
Rfam family: Bacterial small subunit ribosomal RNA
Source: RNAcentral